UUUUAGGUUUAAUUAGGUCCCAUUUGUUUAUUUUUAUUUCCAUUACUCUAGGAGACAGAUCUAAAAAUGUUGCUAUAGCCUGGGUUUGAUUCCUGAACACUACCUUAGUUUUCUGUGGAUAAAUUAUGGAAUAACUCUGUCACCCAGAUUUUUAAAGUGUAGUUAUAUAAAAUUAAAAUUAUGUACUGAAUUUGAAACCAAAUAAUUGUCGGAAUAGUUGAACAAAUACCUGAAUAGUUGUAUAGGUGAAAAGUUAUUUGUAAACAAAAUAUUGUCUGGGGAUUAAUUUAAAGUAGAUUAUAAAAAUGAGAGAUAAAGCAAGAGCCCUAAUAUUUAUUCAUUUGCAAGUAAAACAUCUUUUCCAAACAGGCUUAAACAGUAAAAAUAUCUGUUGGAUUAUAAAAUCAUAAGAAUGUUUUAUUGCAAUUUAUCUGAAUCUGUUUCUCUGUGAUUUGUUCAACUAUGCCCUCCAUUAUUUAUUGAGUUCAUCUCCCUGUUUUUUUUUGUUGAUGGCAAAAUGUACAUAGACUGUGGCAAAUUUAAUAUUUACUCACCAUGACAGUCAGAGGGACAAACACUAACUUUUUCAGGGAUCUCUUUUAAAAUAAAAGAUAUAGUUUUCCCCAGAAACUUCCAGAAAAAUCUCAUAUUUUUUCUCAUUGGCCCCAACUAAGUCACAUACUCUUCCCUUAAUAGACCCCUGGAAUUCUCUGUUGCUAAAGGUUGGGGUGGGUGCUGCAGAAAUACAGAACAAAAAUCAGGAUUCCUUUAGAAAUGGGAAACAAAUCAAUGAAUUCAGGUGUUACUAAAAAUGUCUGGUAAAAUAGAGGGUGAUACAGGAGGUACAGCAUCCAUCAAAUUCAGUGCUCCCCCCAAUUUUUGGUAUCUAGAUUCCCUUUGGUUUGCCAAAUGUCUUAGGACAUAAAGAACUUUGUUUAUGUGGAUUACAUCUAUCAAUAUCUACCAUAUUGAAAAUGUAAACAAGUUGAAAUGUGUUUAUUAAACAUUGAAAAGUAAAAAUAAUAAGAUUAUGAUCUAUUACCUUACAUAAAUUAAAAAUAUCUUGAAGGAAGUAUUUAUUGAAUGACUAAAUGUGUCAGGCACUUUAUUGAGCAUUCAUGGCAUCAAAUCAGUUAUGUGAUGUUUGAUAUUCAGGAAGAAGAUAGGCCUUACUUUUGUUAUCUAACAGUUACAGUUUACCAUUUUUUUCUUUAAAAUUUUGCUCAUAUCUGUGCACUCUUCUCCUUUUAGGGUAUCUCCAGCCUCAGGUCUCCUCAUCUAAUACAUGGUUUGUUGAAGUUAGUCUCCUUGUUUCAGAGCUGUAAGCCAAUUGCAAGUUCAGGUUUCUGAAAGGUACCAUCACAUUAGUCUGUUCCCUGAAGACUUUAGUGACUGAUGGUUGUAAGAUAAAUUCAGAUUCUCAGAGUGGCAUUUAAGAUACUCAGUAACCUGACCUGCUUCCCAGCUUUUCCCCUACAUUCACCAACAGUUCUCACCAAUAUUCUGUCAGCUUUCUAAUUCAAUUCCAUGGUUCACCUCCCUCAUCCCCUUUCCCAGUGCCACACUCCUUUCCAUAGACAUGGACUCUAGUCAUACUCAUUCCUUUUUUUCCCCCAAAUAUAUUUUUUUUUCUAUUUUUAAGGCACAUUUUCCUUCUAAUACUACUUAUGAGCUAAAUAUUCCAGACUAAAAAAAUCUUCCUUCCUUCUUUUCUUCCUUCCUUCCUUCCUUUCUUUCUUCCUUCCUUCCUUCCUUCCUUCCUUCCUUCCUUCAUUCCUUCAUUCCUUUCUUUUCCUUUGUUUCUUUUGUCUUUUUAGGGCUGCACCCAAAGAAUAUGUAAUUUCCCACUCUAGUGGUCAAAUCAGAGCUGUAGGUGCCUGCCUACACCACAGCCACAGCAAUGUAGGAUCUGAGGUAUGCCUGUGACCUACACCAUAGCUCACUGCAAUGCUGGAUCCUUAAUUCACUGAGAGAGGCCAGGGAUUGCAACUGCAUCCUCAUGGAUACUAGUUGGGUUCAUUACCAGUGAACUAUAUUGGGGACUCCAAGAAUUUCCAUUUUCUUAAAUGCAAGGAUGUGGGGAGAAAGGCAGCAUUGACUCAAAUUCCAGCUCAUUUUCAUGAUAUAGAUGAACUUGGACAGGCUUCUUAAUAUUUCAAAUUAAGAGAUAUUUACUGAGGAAAACAUGAAAAUUCAUAUCUGAUACAUUGGUAGGCAAUAUAAUGAAAAGUCUAGCUUUGCACUUAACAGAUGGUAUAUUCACAAUACAUUUUUUUUCUAUUUUUUGCACAUAUAAUUAUUGUUUAGCUAUUUAAAAUUUUAAUGUUUCCUGCAUCAUUUGUGUUUGAGCAGCACCUCCAAAUUUUUAUUAAUGCUAUACAUAUAUCAAUCCUUACCUUGGAAUCAGUCCAGUUUAAUGGUGUCCCUAACAACAAGCAAAGCAAAUAAUAAUACCAGAGAGAAAAGCUGUAUUUACUUAAUAUACUUGGGAAUUACACUGCCAUGUAUGAUGGUUAACCAAUCAAACUACAUGAAAACAUGAAAUCUAUGGAAUUGUCACUAUAAAUAGAAUCAUCUUCAAACUAUAGAUUGAUAAGCCACUCAUAUAUUCAGAUACUCUACUUUAGAGAACUUGAGAAAUAUUUGUCCAACACCAAAGAGGAAAUUGUUCUGGAUUAGAGAAUACAUUGCUUUCAAAUUCAAACAUAAUCUCUUGAACAAUGCAAAACUGAGGACCAAACUGAAAUAUAUUUGUUUACUUUUGUCAUACAAUGUUGUAAAGGGGGCUUAAAAAUGGAUUAAUACUUGAGGACUUGGAAUAUGUGAUAGUUUGUAAGAUUGUGCCUUGGGAUCCCAGGAUACUGCCAGCAACGUUAAAGGGAGAUGACCUCCAUAUGUAGUGACUUCCACUCUCAGCAUUUGUUGAAGUUGUUAAAACAAAUUUUUCCCUUUAAAUUUUGCUUUUUACCACAAGGAGAAGAGCUUAUCCUUCAAUUUUCUCCUCUCAUCUUCUGUAAUACAGGCACACAGAUUCCGGGGAAUGUUCAUUCCUCUGAUGUGUUAGAUUUAAUGAUGGUACACCUGUAACUCAGUACUCACAAGGAUGUUUUGAUAAUCAGAGGGAGGAUGCUUACAUUGGGAGAGUUUUGUCUUUAUGAAUUUAUGGACGUAUAAUAUGUAAAUCUAGGGAACUCAUGUUUGUUUUAUUCAUCUCAAAUAAGGUCUGUGUUAGUUUUUACAAGUAAAGAUCCUUAAAGUAGAUUUAAAAUCACCUUUUCUGUACAUAUAAACUUUUUCAUUGAGGAAGAAGUUUUCAUAUGCUCUCCCAGUGUUGUGAAUGUUUUAAAUGAGCAAAGAUCAGAUAUAUUAUAUUUACCCCUUAGGAUUUCAUGAAUGUCAUGAAGGAUUAAAGAAAGGACAUUCAGUUUUAAAUACAUGUGACUAAUUCACUUUGCUGUACCCCUGAAUCCAACACAAUGUUGUAAAUCAACUAUAUUCCAAUAAAAUUAAAUUUAAAAGGAAGAUAAACUCAGAUAUUUAAGGAAUAAAAUGUGCAUUGUUUACCAAUUCUUUCAUCCUUCUUGCAAGGCCAUACCCAUUUUUAUGAACACUGACCCUGUCUAUGUCAUGUUCUUGUUGAUUUUUGCCCUUAUACAUGCAUCCUUUCUUCCUUUAUGUAAACUUAGUUUACAUAGAACGGUAAAUUAAUAAAGUUUUAACUAAAUGAUCCAGAUGAUUCUAACUUCCAAUUUCUGUACUCUCAACCAAGUCUUAUAUACCUGAUAGCUUACAAUAGCUCUUGUAUAGUCUAUGGUUUUUUUUUUUCAUACAUGUACACACAAUUUCCUUAUGAUGCUGGAGGCAUUUUGAGGUUUAGUAUGAUUUAUAUUUCUUACAAGAUCUGUACCAUGCUCUGUGCAAAAUUUGAUUUUGAUUCCAGUCUUACUAUCACUACAGCAACUUGUGAUACAUAAACUGUUUUCACUAUUCUGCUAGUGAUACUCAGGGACUUGACUGGUUGUUCUAACAGUGAAACUUAUUGACCUCUUCUGAAGUUUGCGUGUUUUAAUUUUGAAUGAGAGUCUACAAAGAUGAGUUCCUGUCAUGGCUCAGCACUAACAAACACAACUAGUAUCCAUGAGGAUGCAGUCUUGAUCUCUGGCCUCACUCAGUGGGUUAAAUGAUCUGGCAUUUCCAUGAGCUGUGGUGAAGUUUUCAGACAUGGCUUGGAUCUGGUGUUGCUGUGGCUGUGGUGUA
This 4257-nucleotide long non-coding RNA is filed under the name Sus scrofa (pig). RNAcentral's name for it is "lncRNA (ENSSSCG00060027817.1)". Lineage: Eukaryota; Metazoa; Chordata; Mammalia; Artiodactyla; Suidae. The record is from RNAcentral.